UCUUGGUCAUUUAGAGGAAGUAAAAGUCGUAACAAGGUUUCCGUAGGUGAACCUGCGGAAGGAUCAUUAUUGAGUUUUGAAGUGGGCUUGAUGCUGGCAUCUUCACCGAUGCAUGUGCUCAGCCCCGCUCUCAAAUCCACUCAACACCUGUGCACUUUCAAAGCUGUAGUCCUCCGUAACUGGAGCCGCGGGUCAGUAAUGACCUGCUGGGAUUGCGCUUUGCCCUUUAUCACAAACUAUAUGCAUUGUCUUGUAGAAUGUAUUAGCCUCGUAGUGGGCGAAACUUAAUACAACUUUCAACAACGGAUCUCUUGGCUCUCGCAUCGAUGAAGAACGCAGCGAAAUGCGAUAAGUAAUGUGAAUUGCAGAAUUCAGUGAAUCAUCGAAUCUUUGAACGCACCUUGCGCUCCUUGGUAUUCCGAGGAGCAUGCCUGUUUGAGUGUCGUGAAAUUAUCAAACUCCCUUUCUUUGUUGAAAGGUGAGCUUGGACUUGGGGAUUUGCUGGUUUCAAUCAGCUUCCCUUGAAUGCAUUAGCUGGACUUUGAUUUGCAGCAUAUAUGCGGUGUGAUAAUGUCGUCACUGUGUAGCUCAAGUCGUUUGGCUUCUAAUCGUCCUUUCACGAGGACAAUCUGAUCAAUUAGACCUCAAAUCAGGUAGGACUACCCGCUGAACUUAAGCAUAUCAAUA
RNAcentral lists this ribosomal RNA (687 nucleotides) under Xylodon cf. brevisetus UC2023239. RNAcentral describes it as "eukaryotic LSU rRNA". The stretch from base 292 to 445 matches the Rfam family "5.8S ribosomal RNA". Lineage: Eukaryota; Fungi; Basidiomycota; Agaricomycetes; Hymenochaetales; Schizoporaceae. The record is from RNAcentral.